AUUGAACGCUGGCGGAAUGCUUUACACAUGCAAGUCGAACGGCAGCACGGACUUCGGUCUGGUGGCGGGUGGCGAACGGGUGAGUAAUGCAUCGGAACGUGCCCAGUAGUGGGGGAUAGCCCGGCGAAAGCCGGAUUAAUACCGCAUACGACCUGAGGGUGAACGGGGGGAUCGCAAGACCUCUCGACAUUGGAGCGGCCGAGGUCCGAUUAGCUAGUUGGUGGGGUAAAGGCCUACCAAGGCAACGAUCUGUAGUUGGGCUGAGAGGACGACCAGCCACACUGGGACUGGGACACCGCCCAGACUCCUACGGGAGGCAGCAGUGGGGAAUUUUGGACAAUGGGCGCAAGCCUGAUCCAGCAAUGCCGCGUGCAGGAAGAAGGCCUUCGGGUUGUAAACUGCUUUUGUCAGGGAAGAAAUCUUCUGGGUUAAUACCUCGGGAGGAUGACGGUACCUGAAGAAUAAGCACCGGCUAACUACGUGCCAGCAGCCGCCGUAA
This 499-nucleotide ribosomal RNA is filed under the name uncultured bacterium. Its description in RNAcentral is "partial 16S ribosomal RNA". It matches the Rfam family "Bacterial small subunit ribosomal RNA", at positions 29 to 523 of the family's 1533-position model. The record is from RNAcentral.